AGUGAACGCUGGCGGUAGGCCUAACACAUGCAAGUCGAACGGCAGCACAGUAAGAGCUUGCUCUUACGGGUGGCGAGUGGCGGACGGGUGAGGAAUACAUCGGAAUCUACUUUUUCGUGGGGGAUAACGUAGGGAAACUUACGCUAAUACCGCAUACGACCUACGGGUGAAAGCAGGGGAUCUUCGGACCUUGCGCGAUUGAAUGAGCCGAUGUCGGAUUAGCUAGUUGGCGGGGUAAAGGCCCACCAAGGCGACGAUCCGUAGCUGGUCUGAGAGGAUGAUCAGCCACACUGGAACUGAGACACGGUCCAGACUCCUACGGGAGGCAGCAGUGGGGAAUAUUGGACAAGGGGCGCAAGCCUGAUCCAGCCAUACCGCGUGGGUGAAGAAGGCCUUCGGGUUGUAAAGCCCUUUUGUUGGGAAAGAAAAGCAGCAGGUUAAUACCCCGCUGUUCUGACGGGACCCAAAGAAGAGCACCGGCUAACUUCGUG
RNAcentral lists this ribosomal RNA (491 nucleotides) under uncultured bacterium. Its description in RNAcentral is "partial 16S ribosomal RNA". It matches the Rfam family "Bacterial small subunit ribosomal RNA", at positions 29 to 507 of the family's 1533-position model. The record is from RNAcentral.